This 440-nucleotide ribosomal RNA is filed under the name uncultured bacterium. RNAcentral's name for it is "partial 16S ribosomal RNA". It matches the Rfam family "Bacterial small subunit ribosomal RNA", at positions 338 to 795 of the family's 1533-position model. The record is from RNAcentral.
CCUACGGGAGGCAGCAGUGGGGGAUAUUGCACAAUGGGGGAAACCCUGAUGCAGCGACGCCGCGUGGGUGAAGAAGCGCCUCGGCGCGUAAAGCCCUGUCAGCAGGGAAGAAAAUGACGGUACCUGAAGAAGAAGCCCCGGCUAACUACGUGCCAGCAGCCGCGGUAAUACGUAGGGGGCACGCGUUAUCCGGAUUGACUGGGUGUAAAGGGGGCGCAGGCGGCGAUGCAAGCCAGGAGUGAAAGCCCGGGGCCCAACCCCGGGACUGCUCUUGGAACUGCGUGGCUAGAGUGCAGGAGGGGCAGGCGGAAUUCCUGGUGUAGCGGUGAAAUGCGUAGAUAUCAGGAGGAACACCGGUGGCGAAGGCGGCCUGCUGGACUGCAACUGACGUUGAGGCCCGAAAGCGUGGGGAGCAAACAGGAUUAGAUACCCCUGUAGUC